This 775-nucleotide ribosomal RNA is filed under the name uncultured Neocallimastigales. Its description in RNAcentral is "partial large subunit ribosomal RNA". It matches the Rfam family "Eukaryotic large subunit ribosomal RNA", at positions 20 to 646 of the family's 3401-position model. Lineage: Eukaryota; Fungi; Neocallimastigomycota; Neocallimastigomycetes; Neocallimastigales. The record is from RNAcentral.
AUCACUACGCUAGAUGCAUAUCAAUAAGCGGAGGAAAAGAGACUAACAAGGAUUCCCCUAGUAACGGCGAGCGAAGCGGGAAGAGCUCAAAUUUGAAAUCUUAAAGGGUUUCCCUUUACGAAUUGUAGUUUAAAGAAGUGUUUUCUGUUGAAGUUUCGGUAAAAGUUCUUUGGAAUAGGGACAUCAUAGAGGGUGAGAAUCCCGUAUUUGACCGUUACUUUCCAGCUGUGUGAUACACUUUCAAAGAGUCGGAUUGUUUGGGAAUGCAGUCCAAAAUGGGUGGUAAAUUUCAUCUAAAGCUAAAUAUUGGCGAGAGACCGAUAGCGAACAAGUACCGUGAGGGAAAGAUGAAAAGAACUUUGAAAAGAGAGUUAAACAGUACGUGAAAUUGUCAAAAGGGAAGCGUUUGACACCAGUGUUGUUUAGUUGAAACUCAAUUCAAUAAUUUUUGAUUUUGAGUAGUAUUGACUUCAUCAGCUUGCUGCUUUCUUUUCAGAAAUUAUUGAAUGCACUUUUCAGUUAACAAGUCAACAUCAAUUUCUUUUGUUGUAAAAGGGUAAGAGGAAGGUGGCUUACGCUUCGGCGUAAGUGUUUAUAGCCUUUUACCUCUGCAAUCGGAGAGAUUGAGGACAGCAGCGUAGACUCUUCGGGGUUAGAUACACUUGUGCUAAGCUAUAGCCUUGUAUAGACAACUUGUUGACUAUGCUCAGUCAUGUAGCUUACUCGCUUGUGCUAUUUUACCUACGCUUAGGAUGUUGACGAGACUGUCGAUCUC